RNAcentral lists this ribosomal RNA (400 nucleotides) under uncultured bacterium. RNAcentral describes it as "bacterial SSU rRNA". It matches the Rfam family "Bacterial small subunit ribosomal RNA", at positions 355 to 754 of the family's 1533-position model. The record is from RNAcentral.
UGAGGAAUAUUGGUCAAUGGGCGCGAGCCUGAACCAGCCAAGUCGCGUGAAGGAUGAAGGUUCUAUGGAUUGUAAACUUCUUUUGUCAGGGAACAAAGAGCUCACGAGUGAGCAGAUGAGUGUACCUGAAGAAAAAGCAUCGGCUAACUCCGUGCCAGCAGCCGCGGUAAUACGGAGGAUGCGAGCGUUAUCCGGAUUUAUUGGGUUUAAAGGGUGCGUAGGCCGCACGUCAAGUCAGCGGUAAAAUUUCGGGGCUUAACCCCGACGAGCCGUUGAAACUGGCGAGCUAGAGUGGAGAUGAGGUAUGCGGAAUGCGUGGUGUAGCGGUGAAAUGCAUAGAUAUCACGCAGAACUCCGAUUGCGAAGGCAGCGUACCAAUCUCUUACAGACGCUGAGGCAC